RNA transcript from Rhincodon typus (whale shark), 2089 nucleotides. It is a transcript of the gene named sperm associated antigen 8, with no coding region annotated. The record is from RefSeq and is a predicted model, not a curated record. NCBI's taxonomy places the organism in Eukaryota, Metazoa, Chordata, Chondrichthyes, Orectolobiformes, Rhincodontidae. The transcript has 6 exons.
AAUAAGGAAGCAACUGAUUGAAAAGUAUAUGUAUCACAAAAUAAGCAAAGAUAUAUUUGAUGCACAGGAAGCUGCCUCAACUUUACAACCAAUGGAAUCGCUGACCGUAACAGGACAUGACUUCAAGGUGGAAGGUUUUAAAUCUGUUCCACGUCCUCCUACUAUGCUGGAAGGCAAAAUACACAAGAAUGUUUGCAAAGUAAUAUAUGGACAAAAUACAGAAAACUGCAGAUGCAUAACUACAAAACAGAACAGCCUAUUACGAUCUGGACUGACCAUGCCAUGCAAAUACAUGUCGUGGUAACCAUGAACGAUAGAUCCAGCCACAGCAGGGGCUGUUAUCGCUGUGGCCAUGAUGCUGUGACAACACAGAGAGGUUGAAGAUGAAUGGAUGCGCAAACAAGACCAGGACCAGCAACAUUCAGUGCCUGCUGAGCAGUCUCCGCAUGAAGAAGUCACAGCUGACAUCCCCUCCGGAUACAGAGGAGAAAUCUGUCAGCUAUGAUACCAUUUCCUGCAGAUCAACGAGGCACAGUGUCAUCACAGACUGAGGAUAGCCCAGAACAUCAUCAGAAGACUAUACCACCUCGUAGAGCAGGAUCUGCAGAAGUGGUGGUGAUCUUAUUCUGGGUGUCACUCCAAUAAAGAACGCUCAUGCUCCAUUUCGGAAAAAUACAUCAUUUACCAAAACAAUAGCAGAAACAUUGGAUAGCUGACAACUUAUAGUUUGAAAUUGCAUUGUUCCCAUUCACAGAAAUUAACGUUCACGGAAAUUAGAUAAUAUGUAUUAUACCUGUUGCUGCUUAUUCUCUUUUUACUGCUUCUAUACAGAAUCCGGAUCAUUCAUUUAACAUCAAUUCUGAAAUAAAUAAAAAUGUGCCAAAAGAUUAGAAACUUUAUUUUUCAAAGUGUCUCGUGGUAAUGCCAAUGAAAAAAGCAGCAUGUACCAGAACUGAAUCUCACCUGAUUAGAAAGAAGGCAUUACAGAGUGAGGUUCCACUACCCCUGCUGAACUUUAGUGGUCUGAGUUGCAAAAUUGUCUAUUGCUAGUUUGUAAUUCUCUGGCAAAGCUAAUGACCAUUAUAUUAUGAUCCUGCACAACUAGCCAUUGAUUUUAAAUAAUAUACACUGUUGUACGAUUCUAUGACUCUGUAAUAUGUUCUCACACAUACAUUCCUCCUCUUUUGGGUAAUGGUGGUGAAAUGUUGGAAGGUUAUAGCAGGCUGAUUUACCUGUUGUUUGUAUCUGUUUGAUCUCUGUAAACACUUGUUCCGUGGCCAACAAGUUCUGGAGUGUGACUUGGAUCUGGAACAUAUGGCUCAGAGGCAGUACGUAACCUAUAGAGUCACAAGAGUUCCUUAACAGCUGGAACAUUUCAGGCUUCUUGCAGAGUGCUUCCUACCUGCCAUCGAGAGUAAGAUCAUCAGAGCUCAGCUUCACAGGGUUCGUCAUGUAGUUUGCAUGCAGGAUUUAUGGGUAAAAAUGGCAGUAUUCUACAGUCAGUUAUGCAUGAAAACCACGCAAGACAUUCCAAACUUCAAUAUAUAGACAAUCUGAAAGUCAACUUCGGAGCGUGCAAGCUGGUUCUCAAUAUGUAGGGAAAAAAGAUUUUGGAUAGACCCAAAUGGGAAAGUUCCUGUCAUCAAGUGACUUCAACAUUUGAGGAGAGCGAAAUAGUGUGACUUCAGCACCAACAAGCAUGGUGCAAACGGCAAUGCCUCCAUCCAACCUUCUAAUAUUUGUCUCCAAGAUGGUGGCAGAGUAGGAUUCCUGAGCAGGAGCUUAUCCACUCCACGUGUUUCUUUUCCUUUUAUGUCUCUUUGUAUUUUUGUAUCCUUUUGUAUCCUCAGGUAGCAUUGGCGAUGUCCAGGGUGAAAGCCGGUGUGGACUCCCGGCCUCAGCAUGGACUUAAACUCCUGAAAUCUGGGCUCAUUGUGAACCCGAACUCACAGCCUCAGCGUGGACUCGAGCUGCUGACCUCAGCGUGAACUCAACUCUUGCCACUCCCAGCCUUGGGGUGCAGGCUGACACAGUCUGGGUUGGAAGGAUUGUUGUUCUGAACUCUUUUUUCUCUAUUUUUCUAAUUUAU